Molecule: small nucleolar RNA, 76 nt
Organism: Thalassophryne amazonica
Lineage: Eukaryota; Metazoa; Chordata; Actinopteri; Batrachoidiformes; Batrachoididae
Product: small nucleolar RNA snR60/Z15/Z230/Z193/J17
Exons: 1
Source: RefSeq, a predicted model, not a curated record
GUGAUGCAAUGAUGAUUUCAUAGUUCAGCAGAAUAAACAGUGAUGAAUUUUCUUUCGCUCCUAUCUGAUGUAUCAG